GACGAACGCUGGCGGCGUGCUUAACACAUGCAAGUCGAACGGAAAGGCCCCCUUGUGGGGUACUCGAGUGGCGAACGGGUGAGUAACACGUGAGUAACCUACCCUUGACUUUGGGAUAACUUCAGGAAACUGGGGCUAAUACCGGAUAGGAGCUCCUGCUGCAUGGUGGGGGUUGGAAAGUUUCGGCGGUUGGGGAUGGACUCGCGGCUUAUCAGCUUGUUGGUGGGGCAGUGGCUCACCAAGGCUUUGACGGGUAGCCGGCCUGAGAGGGUGACCGGCCACAUUGGGACUGAGAUACGGCCCAGACUCCUACGGGAGGCAGCAGUGGGGAAUAUUGCACAAUGGGCGGAAGCCUGAUGCAGCAACGCCGCGUGCGGGAUGACGGCCUUCGGGUUGUAAACCGCUUUCGCCUGUGACGAAGCGUGAGUGACGGUAAUGGGUAAAGAAGCACCGGCUAACUACGUG
This 465-nucleotide ribosomal RNA is filed under the name uncultured bacterium. RNAcentral describes it as "partial 16S ribosomal RNA". It matches the Rfam family "Bacterial small subunit ribosomal RNA", at positions 28 to 507 of the family's 1533-position model. The record is from RNAcentral.